CAUGCAAGUCGUGCGAGAAAGUAUCUUCGGAUAUGAGUAGAGCGGCGGACGGGUGAGUAACGCGUAGGAAUCUACCUAGUAGAAGGGGAUAGCCCGGGGAAACCCGGAUUAAUACCGUAUACCUCCUUCGGGAGAAAGAAGGCCUCUCUUUGAAGCUUUCGCUACUAGAUGAGCCUGCGUAAGAUUAGCUUGUUGGUGAGGUAAAGGCUCACCAAGGCUACGAUCUUUAGCUGGUCUGAGAGGACGAUCAGCCACAUUGGGACUGAGACACGGCCCAGACUCCUACGGGAGGCAGCAGUGGGGAAUAUUGGACAAUGGGCGCAAGCCUGAUCCAGCCAUACCGCGUGUGUGAAGAAGGCCUUCGGGUUGUAAAGCACUUUAAGCAGGGAGAAAAAGUUAUAAGCUAAUACCUUAUGACCUUGAUGUUACCUGCAGAAUAAGCACCGGCUAAUUCCGUGCCAGCAGCCGCGGUAAUACGGAAGGUGCAAGCGUUAAUCGGAAUUACUGGGCGUAAAGCGCGCGUAGGUGGUUUGUUAAGUUGGAUGUGAAAGCCCUGGGCUCAACCUAGGAACUGCAUCCAAAACUAACUCACUAGAGUACGAUAGAGGGAGGUAGAAUUCAUAGUGUAGCGGUGGAAUGCGUAGAUAUUAUGAAGAAUACCAGUGGCGAAAGCGGCCUCCUGGAUCUGUACUGACACUGAGUGCGAAAGCGUGGGUAGCGAACAGGAUUAGAUACCCUGGUAGUCCACGCCGUAAACGAUGACAACUAGCUGUUGGGAGACUAUGUCUUUCAGUGGCGCAGCU
RNAcentral lists this ribosomal RNA (803 nucleotides) under uncultured marine bacterium. RNAcentral's name for it is "bacterial SSU rRNA". It matches the Rfam family "Bacterial small subunit ribosomal RNA", at positions 54 to 853 of the family's 1533-position model. The record is from RNAcentral.